AGAGUUUGAUUCAUGGCUCAGGAUGAGUGCAUGGCGUGGUGCGUCCUCGUACAAGCCUAACGAUAAAUCCUAACUUGCUCUGUGGAUUAGUGGCGAACCGGUGAGUACUACGUUAGUGACCUACCUUUUACUCCGGGAUCAUACCCUGCUACACUGGGUCUAGUACCGCAUGCGACCCAUCUCCCCAUGGGGUGUUGGUGUAAAGCGUUGUAGAGUGGUUUUACAUGGCCUCAUCGCCUAGCGCCUUGUUGGUGAGGUAAUGGCUUCCCCUGGCGACGACAGGGCACCUGCCUGACAUGCGUGACCCGCCUCGCUGCCGACCGACACACUUCCCCCAGUCCUGCUGCAUGCACCCCUGGGGAAUAUUGCAGCGAUGGGUCCCAUCCAGAUGACGCCACGCCGCCUGAUGGAUGACUGCCUUCAGGUAUGUGAAACCGCUGUUAGCAUCUAAGAAGCAAAAGUGACAGUAGGUGCAGAGAAAGCGCCCGCUAACUACGUGCCAGCAGCCGCGGUAAUACGUAAGGCGCGAGCGUUGUCCGGAAUUAUUGGGCGUAAAGAGCUUGUAGGCGGUUGGUCGCGUCUGCUGUGAAAGGCUGGGGCUUAACCCUGGUUUUGCAGUGGGUACGGGCUAACUAGAGUGCAGUAGGGGAGACUGGAAUUCCUGGUGUAGCGGUGGAAUGCGCAGAUAUCAGGAGGAACACCGAUGGCGAAGGCAGGUCUCUGGGCUGUAACUGACGCUGAGAAGCGAAAGCAUGGGGAGCGAACAGGAUUAGAUACUCUGGUAGUCCAUGCCGUAAACGUUGGGCACUAGGUGUGGGGGACAUUCCACGUUUUCCGCGCCGUAGCUAACGCAUUAAGUGCCCCGCCUGGGGAGUACGGCCGCAAGGCUAAAACUCAAAGAAAUUGACGGGGGCCCGCACAAGCGGCGGAGCAUGCGGAUUAAUUCGAUGCAACGCGAAGAACCUUACCAAGGCUUGACAUAUACUGGACUGCGUCAGAGAUGGCGUUUCCCUUCGGGGCUGGUAUACAGGUGGUGCAUGGUUGUCGUCAGCUCGUGUCGUGAGAUGUUGGGUUAAGUCCCGCAACGAGCGCAACCCUCGUUCUAUGUUGCCAGCACGUGAUGGUGGGGACUCAUAGGAGACUGCCGGGGUCAACUCGGAGGAAGGUGGGGAUGACGUCAAAUCAUCAUGCCCCUUAUGUCUUGGGCUUCACGCAUGCUACAAUGGCCGGUGCAGAGGGUUGCGAUACUGUGAGGUGGAGCUAAUCCCUAAAAGCCGGUCUCAGUUCGGAUUGGGGUCUGCAACUCGACCCCAUGAAGUCGGAGUCGCUAGUAAUCGCAGAUCACCUCUGCCGCCGUAGUUGCGUUCCCUGCCGGUGCACCCCCCGCCCGUC
RNAcentral lists this ribosomal RNA (1392 nucleotides) under uncultured bacterium. RNAcentral describes it as "partial 16S ribosomal RNA". It matches the Rfam family "Bacterial small subunit ribosomal RNA". The record is from RNAcentral.